RNAcentral lists this long non-coding RNA (463 nucleotides) under Phascolarctos cinereus (koala). RNAcentral describes it as "lncRNA (ENSPCIG00000035264.1)". Lineage: Eukaryota; Metazoa; Chordata; Mammalia; Diprotodontia; Phascolarctidae. The record is from RNAcentral.
CUUAGACUUGUUAGAACCAUCAAAGGGCCAGAAAAAAACUGAGAUUUGGGCAAAUUCAACAAUUCCAAGACUAGGAGAAGCUUUAAGACCAGACUUAGUAAUCUGGGAUAAUAAGAACUGCAUUGCCACUGUCAUUGAUGUUAUUCUACCCUUUGAAAAUAGAUAUUCUGCAAUAUCAGCCUGUCAGCAUCUGGCUCAGGAAGGCUAUAGAGUAUAUUACAACAUGCAGAUAAGUGGAGGCCCUCAGAGGAUGGAUUCCAGCUUAUUUAAGAUAGACCUAUGAUCAUUUUCAUCAUUCUCUUCUGCAAGUUCUUCAGAACGUCUUAAAGUGUGAUGCCCCCAAAUGGAACUGCCAUUUUAAUUGAGAUCUGACUGGAAAAGAGUAAUAAGGUAAGAUUGCUUUUUUCUUAUUUCACUUAUAUUAUGUAGUAUACUAUCAAAGUUAUAUUUUCAUUUUGAAAUU